GGGCGCCCCUGAUUGUGGGGUGAAAAUUAUUGCCUUACGCAAACUGGGCUUGGGAGUGGGGGAUAACCGUCCGGCUUCGGGCGCUAAUACCGCAUACGUCCUGAGGGAGAAAGUGGGGGAUCUUCGGACCUCACGCUAUCAGAUGAGCCUAGGUCGGAUUAGCUAGUUGGUGGGGUAAAGGCCUACCAAGGCGACGAUCCGUAACUGGUCUGAGAGGAUGAUCAGUCACACUGGAACUGAGACACGGUCCAGACUCCUACGGGAGGCAGCAGUGGGGAAUAUUGGACAAUGGGCGAAAGCCUGAUCCAGCCAUGCCGCGUGUGUGAAGAAGGUCUUCGGAUUGUAAAGCACUUUAAGUUGGGAGGAAGGGCAGUAAGUUAAUACCUUGCUGUUUUGACGUUACCAACAGAAUAAGCACCGGCUAACUUCGUGCCAGCAGCCGCGGUAAUACGAAGGGUGCAAGCGUUAAUCGGAAUUACUGGGCGUAAAGCGCGCGUAGGUGGUUUCAGCAAGUUGGAUGUGAAAAUCCCCGGGCUCAACCUGGGAACUGCAUCCAAAACUACUGAGCUAGAGUACGGUAGAGGGUGGUGGAAUUUUCCUGUGUAGCGGCGAAAUGCCUUAAAUAUAUUAAGGGAACACCA
Molecule: ribosomal RNA, 641 nt
Filed under: Pseudomonas aeruginosa
Lineage: Bacteria; Pseudomonadati; Pseudomonadota; Gammaproteobacteria; Pseudomonadales; Pseudomonadaceae
Description: bacterial SSU rRNA
Rfam family: Bacterial small subunit ribosomal RNA
Source: RNAcentral